UCUCUCCUGGCUCAGAUGGUAAAGCAUCUGCCUGCAAUGCAGGAGACCUGGGUUUGAUCCCUGGGUCGGGAA
RNAcentral lists this transfer RNA (72 nucleotides) under Bos taurus (domestic cattle). It matches the Rfam family "tRNA". From Rfam's summary of the family: Transfer RNA (tRNA) molecules are approximately 80 nucleotides in length. Their secondary structure includes four short double-helical elements and three loops (D, anti-codon, and T loops). Lineage: Eukaryota; Metazoa; Chordata; Mammalia; Artiodactyla; Bovidae. RNAcentral also lists the same sequence under 2 other names. The record is from Rfam by way of RNAcentral.